This 434-nucleotide ribosomal RNA is filed under the name uncultured Lachnospiraceae bacterium. Its description in RNAcentral is "partial 16S ribosomal RNA". It matches the Rfam family "Bacterial small subunit ribosomal RNA", at positions 341 to 792 of the family's 1533-position model. Lineage: Bacteria; Bacillati; Bacillota; Clostridia; Lachnospirales; Lachnospiraceae. The record is from RNAcentral.
ACGGAAGGCAGCAGUGGGGAAUAUUGCACAAUGGGGGAAACCCUGAUGCAGCGACGCCGCGUGAGUGAAGAAGUAUUUCGGUAUGUAAAGCUCUAUCAGCAGGGAAGAAAAUGACGGUACCUGACUAAGAAGCCCCGGCUAACUACGUGCCAGCAGCCGCGGUAAUACGAAGGGGGCAAGCGUUAUCCGGAUUUACUGGGUGUAAAGGGAGCGUAGACGGCGAUGCAAGUCUGAUGUGAAAGCCCGGGGCUCAACCCCGGCACUGCAUUGGAAACUGUGUUGCUAGAGUGCAGGAGAGGUAAGUGGAAUUCCUAGUGUAGCGGUGAAAUGCGUAGAUAUUAGGAGGAACACCAGAGGCGAAGGCGGCUUACUGGACUGUAACUGACGUUGAGGCUCGAAAGCGUGGGGAGCAAACAGGAUUAGAUACCCUGGUA